AAACCAUGACAGUAAUUGUACAGUGACUCUAGUCCCAACAUUCUCAAGCUAGAAUAUGGAAUCCCUACUGAUUGGUUUGUUAGCCCUCUAUAAUCUUCUGGGAAUUCCCAAUCUAUUUAUUCCUCUACCUGUCCACUCCAGGAUGUACGUCUGGUUAAAUCAAACAGACUCUAGCUCUGGAGCAUCAGAAAUAAAACUGAGAAAGUUAAAUCAACUUCCCUUGAGGUACCGAAGAAAAGGAUCAUAUAUAUUUAUAAUUUGAAGCCAGGAUUGAGAACCGUUGAUCCAGGACCUUAGGUACCAUAUCAGGACUAUUGGUUUGUUUACUAGGAGCCAUGGGAAGACACUAAAAAUUCUUAAAUAAAAGAGUGUCCUUAUCAGGUUUGAGGUUUUUUUAUAUGAUCAUUUUGGCAGCUGGGAGAGUGUGAAUUUGGUGAGGAGGGACACAUGUGGAUACAGAAGAUUAAGAGACUUGAGUGAGGGAAGUAUCAGUGAAGAAUGAAAAGUUGACGUAUUCAAGGUAUAUUAAAAGAUGAAACUGACAGAAAAGUAUCAAUUGAUUGUCUGGGUGUGGGCUUUAGAAAAAGUGAGGGUAUCAGAGCUGACUUCUAGAUUUCUACAAGCAAUAGAUGAUGGCAACAAGAUUCUGACGUUUACUAAAUAUGAAACAAUGCAAGUUUUGAAUUCUAUCUUGGGCAUUUGAGUUGGAAAUUCAAGUUGACUACGUAUGUCUAAAAUACAGAUAGAUAUAAAUUUGAGAGUGAGUAUCACACUGGCAAACUCAGUGUUCUCUCUUCUCUAGUAACACUCUUGUUUCAGGGAGUAUGAAUUAUUAUAGAGAUGAGAAAGGGACUGAAUUGGGAAGAAAGUAGGAAAUGUUUCAGUUGGUACAGGUUUGUUUUUUUUUUUUAAGUUAAAGUAUGGUCAAGAUGUGUUUCUUUUAACUUCGCUCAAGAUACUGCAUUGCCUGAUCUAAGAAAAAGGGGGGAAAAAGAUCAAUAUAGUUUGUAAAUAAUCCUUCAAAGCAUUUUUUUUCUUCUUUAUUUUUAAGAAUGGAAGGGAGGUCACAAUGAAUAAGCAGUUCCUAGUGGCAGUGAAAAUCAAUAAUAAUCUAACUCUAAUCAUUUCAACAAAUGUUUCCCUGGUUUUUAUUAAGAUAUUAAUAUAUCUAUAUAUGUCGAUAUUAUUUAUUCUUAAUGUUAGAAAAAUAUGUGCAAAUGUUGCCUGACCUAUCACGGGAAUGGGUUUUCCUGACAAUAGGUUUUACUUUCAUGAAAACAGUGACUGUGACAUCAGAAAGUUAUGGAUGACUAGAGAACAGUAGUCAUCAAAAGUCUUUCAGAAAUUAUCAACAGUGCUUCUCUGGGAAAAACUGAGUUUCCCAACAAAAUGAUCAUCCUCUUAUGGCUUGGAAGAUCUCAGGAGGAAGACUUUGAAUCAAGGACACCAAUCUAUGCAGCAAAACAUCCAUCCCAGGAAUAAGGCAAAAUUCUUCAACUGAAAACUUCGCAAGUGGAUACCCCCUGAAGGGUGAAAGUGAGGUGCAACAGAGGAAAGAGUUAUUUUAGAACUUAUAGCAGACUCAGCUCCAACGCAGCUAGCAGACUUCAUGGAGGUGUCUUUAAUGUACCAGAACCUGUGGUAAAGAAUAGAAAAAUGAGCAAGCUAUAACUCCUCCUCUCAAGAAUUCUGAGUCUGGUGAGCCCCAAAAUAAUGAGAACCAAAAGACACAGCUCAAAAAAUGUGGACUAUGCAAGGUGAAUGAGAAUCAUGGAAAAGAAACUGAGGAAGUGAGGUGCUCUAAGUCUUUCUGUCUGAAUGGGAUACUAAAUGCCUUAGUGUGGUCUGCUAUUCUCUGGGUGAGGAACGUGUGUGUGCGCACGCGUGCACAUGCGUGGGCAAACAUGCCCCCAGGCACAGCUGGAGGAAUGAGGAAAUACCUGCCCAUAAGUAGAAGCUAUAGAAGCAAAGAAAAGGAGGACACAACAAAAGGCUAGAAAUAUUCCUUAUUUCUUGAUACCCACCUGAGAAUCACGCUUAGAAAUCAUAGCUUUGCUUUAAUGCACUGAGUUCAUGACACUCUGGGACAUGACAGAUUGAUCUUACAAAGGAGCCAAUUCAUCUUCUAUAGAUGGGAGGUUUAUUUCACACAGAAUCAUUCAGAGAAGGAAAAGGAAAAUUAUGCGCUAAUAUUUAUUGAAAACCAAAAAGAAUAAAGACAGAGACACGUAUUCCAGCACACAUUGAGAAAUACACUUGAGAACAAUUGUACUAGACGCCAAUUUGCAGUGUGCUCUAGGGUAAAAAUGGGAAAAUGGAAAUGUUUUUCCAAACCCAAGGUGAAAAUGAAUACAAAGUGUAAUAACACUAAUAAUAUUUGUAAAUGAGGCACUCAAUUACAGAAUAUUUUUAUACUCUGAAUCCUGGUGCUUUUUAAUUUUCAGAUAUAAAUUUGGUUAAAUUUCUUCUAUUUUAAAAAUGAUUCCCUCUGCUAUAAUCUUCUUUAAUAUAUAGUAAUAGAACAGCUUGAAAGCUUCCUCACAGAAGGUUGCCACAGCAACAUCCCUUCAAUACGUAUGCAUGGAAUUGGGGGAAGGGGGUUAGAAAUGCAGGUGAAACGCAGUGGACUAUGGAAUGUAAUUUAGUCGACUUUCAAGGGAGGAAUAAAAAAUCCAAGGGAAAUGGAGAAAGGGGAAAAGAUCAGACUGCAGAACAUGCAGACUAUUUUAGUCCUGAUCACCUCUGUUCUUGUGUCACUGUGAACACACCUCUAGAUAACCUAAAAGGAGAGAUGCUGCUUCUGAAAGACAGGCAAGGAGAAUGGACACAAAGAGGAUUCUUAAGGUAGGAACAGGGAACACAUUAUGUCCCAAGGCUGGCCCACAGCCAAACAGAGCCAAAGUGAGGUAGCUACCCAAGAGGGAGGCUCAGCCUACUUUACUCCCAGCUGCCUUCAAUGCCAAGUGUGCCUAUGUCUUUGCCAAUAUUUUUAUGCUUCUUUACACU
Long non-coding RNA from Felis catus (domestic cat), 3006 nucleotides. RefSeq lists it as uncharacterized. The record is from RefSeq and is a predicted model, not a curated record. NCBI's taxonomy places the organism in Eukaryota, Metazoa, Chordata, Mammalia, Carnivora, Felidae. The transcript has 4 exons.